CUACGUGCCAGCAGCCGCGGUAAUACGUAGGUCCCGAGCGUUGUCCGGAUUUAUUGGGCGUAAAGCGAGCGCAGGCGGUUAGAUAAGUCUGAAGUUAAAGGCUGUGGCUUAACCAUAGUACGCUUUGGAAACUGUUUAACUUGAGUGCAAGAGGGGAGAGUGGAAUUCCAUGUGUAGCGGUGAAAUGCGUAGAUAUAUGGAGGAACACCGGUGGCGAAAGCGGCUCUCUGGCUUGUAACUGACGCUGAGGCUCGAAAGCGUGGAGAGCAAACAGGAUUAGAUACCCUGGUAGUCCACGCCGUAAACGAUGAGUGCUAGGUGUUAGACCCUUUCCGGGGUUUAGUGCCGCAGCUAACGCAUUAAGCACUCCGCCUGGGGAGUACGACCGCAAGGUUGAAACUCAAAGGAAUUGACGGGGGCCCGCACAAGCGGUGGAGCAUGUGGUUUAAUUCGAAGCAACGCGAAGAACCUUACCAGGUCUUGACAUCCCUCUGACCGCUCUAGAGAUAGAGUUUUC
Molecule: ribosomal RNA, 517 nt
Filed under: uncultured bacterium
Lineage: Bacteria
Description: bacterial SSU rRNA
Rfam family: Bacterial small subunit ribosomal RNA
Source: RNAcentral